CGAUAGUUGUGAAUGCAAAUCUGGAACUAUGAGUAAUGAGCAGAUUGUUCUCUUGCUUAAUUUUAUUUUGAUUUUUGUUGUUCUUUCUAUUAUAUUUUAAAGUGGAGUUUUCUUCUACCAUCAUUUAUUUCUCCUCUAUUUUUAGAUUUAAAUGUUCAUCUGACUGUAAUAAUCUCAUGUGAUGUUGGAUUUUCAAUAGUUUCAAUGUUUAUAUGCUUUUUUAUGUAUUGUCAUUUUCGAAUUUUGUUAUUUUUAACCAGUGUUACACAUUUUUUCUCUCUCGUAGAUGGAAACAACGACUUCCGAAGUAGAAGUGAAAGUUCUUUCAACUACACAGAAACCUCCUCAAUUAGAAGGUAACAUCACUCUUGUUACCGAUUCAAGUAUAUUCGCACCUCCUAAAAAGCAAAAAAGAACAACUCCUUCUGAAAAUAAUUCUGGUACCAGGAACGGAAGGGAAACAUCAAAUUUGGAAACACUUUACCAAAUUUAUAGAUAAAGAUGGUAAGUGCAAGGUGAAAUGUCAUUUUUGUAGUCAAAGCUAUUGUUCUGAUAGUAAGAGAAAUGAAACAACUACAUUAUGGAACCAUCUUACUGGUAUUUGUAAAAAAUUCCCUUUUAGAUUCAUUCAUAAGAAGCAAUCGACAAUUAGGCUUAUUCCUAUUAAAGGAGGGGGACAAGAAGGUACUAAUGAUACUUGUAAGCUAGAAAAAAUUAUGUACAAUGUCAAUGAAGUGAGAAAGGCCAUUGCUGAAUUUGUAAUCAUUGAUGAACAACCUUUUAAAGUCAUUGAGGGAGAAGGUUUUAAGAAAUUGAUGUCAGUUGUUUAUCCUAACUUUGAGUUGCCCUCUCGUUUGACUGUUGCUAGGCAGUGUUUGAAAAUUUAUCAUGAAGGAAAAGAAUUAGAAAGUUUAUCCAGAACCAACAUGUAUGUCUCACAAGUGAUACAUGGACAUCACUCCAAAACCUAACUUAUAUGGUUAUAACUGCUCACUAGAUUGAUGAUAACUGGAACUUGCAGAAGAAAAUUCUUAACUUUUUUCAAGUUCCAGAUCAUAAGGGUGAAACGAUUGCAAAGGGGAUUGAGGCUUGUCUGUUAGAUUGGGGGAUUGAAAAACCAUUCACUGUGACCCUAGAUAAUGCAAGUGCAAAUGAUGUUUCGAUUAGACACUUGAAGGGUAGGAUUGAGGAUUGGAAAGGAAUUAUCUUGAGAAAUGACUUUCUACAUGUGAGAUGUAAUGCUCACAUUCUGAAUAUAAUUAUAAAAGAAGGAUUAGAUGAUCAUAAUGAAUCCAUUACGCGGGUUAGGAAUGUUGUAAAGUAUGUUAAGUCAUCUCCUGCAAGAUUUGCUUCCUUUAAGUCGUUUGUUGAAAAGGUAAAGAUAGAGAGCCAUGGUCUUUUGAGUUUAGAUGUUGAAACUAGGUGGAACUCGACAUAUACGAUGUUGAGUGCGGCUAUUAAAUUUGAAAAAGCCUUUCCAAGAAUGUAUGUUGAUGACCAUAAGUACCAAAAGCAUUUUACAGAAAUGAUUGGAAGAGGAGGGAAUCCAAAUGGGUAUGAUUAGAAGAAGGUAAAAGCUUUUAUAAAGUUUUUUGAUAUUUUCUACCAGAUUACUCUGAAAUUUUCGGGGACUCUUCAUGUUACUUCAAAUUCCUUCUGCCAUGAGCUUUUUAAUCUUCUUAAUUUUAUUACAAAUAAUUCUCAUAGUGAUGAUUCAGUUUUGAUUGAUAUGGCUGAUAAGAUGAAAGUCAAGUUUGAAAAAUAUUGGAUUGACUUUGAUAAUAUGAACAUAUUAUUUUCCGCCAUUGUAUUGGAUCCCCGAUAUAAAAUGAAAUAUGUGAACUUCAUCUUUGCCAAAUCUUAUGGUCCUUUGGUGGGAAAUUUAAGGUCAACAAGGGUGAUGGAUGUUUUAUCUCGUUUGUACGAUUAUUAUAAAGAUUCUUCUUCUGAAACUUCUGAUGAGAAUAUAGUAAAUCCAUUUAGAAUGAUGAGUGAAAGUGAGAAUGGUGAAAUAUGGCACUCGCAAUGGAAAAAAUAUGUGCAAGAGAAAGAUGAUGGUGGAAAUAAGAAUGAUCUUGACAGGUACUUGAUGGACGAUUUGGAGUUGACCAAAAAUUUAGAUAUCUUGGCUUGGUAGAAAGAUGCAAGUACGAGGUAUCCAGUUGUUACUAGGAUUGCAAGAGAUAUGCUUGCAAUUCCUAUUUCUACCGUAGCAUCUGAAUCGGCUUUCAGCACCGGUGGACGGAUUCUGAUUUGUAUCGAAGUUCUUUGUCGCCAAAGACAGUAGAAUCUUUAAUUUGCACUCAAUAAUGGUUGAGGUCAACUACUAAAAAAUGCACUGUUGAAGAUAUUCUGGAGGAAAUUCAAAAGCUUGAAAUAGUUGAGAAAGGUAAUUUUAUAUGUCUGACUCUUUAUGAAUAUGUUUAUGUCUGUAAAUUACUUAAUGAUAAUUUUUUUUCUUUCAAAAUACUCUGGCACUGUUUUGAGCAUUGAUUAACUCGGAUGAUGGAACCCUCUACAACUAUAUCCUUGUUGCUCGAAAUUUAGGAUGUAAUCUCGAUGUCGUUGUUUUAGUUUACCAUAUAAAAGACUGAGUAUCCUAUUCUGACUUUAUUAGUGUAAUAUCUUUUGUGACUUUUUUGUUGUCAGCUUUCUAAAGCUGGUGUUAGAAUAUUGGUGUUAAUAGUUGAAAUUUGACAGUACAUGAAAUCAAAGAGUGUUCGAAUGUCUUUUUGUGAGAAUGUCUGCAGAUGUUUUAUGAAACAAUCAAUUUAGUGGAAGAAUCUAUAGUGUUUUAUGUUUUAUGGAAGAAUCUAUAGUGUUUGAAUGUUUUAUAGAACUAUUUAGUAGAAUGAAAUGUGAGUGUCUGAAAGAGUUUUCUAACUUCAGUUUAGUGGAACAGUUGGCAUUUGAAUGUGCAGAAGAAUAUUGAGGAGGCUUGUCCAUUUACUUUUAUUUUUUCAAAAUUUAUUGUCAUUGUCUGUAGCAAUUUGUAACAAGUUAAAAUGUUAGAUUUGGUAGUCCAUAUCCAAGGUAUUUGUGCAGUAAAGUUUAGAUGUACAGUGAAGUACAAGUCUGUAGGGUGCUUCUGGGAGCUUGUUUUUUAAAAAACCGAUAAAAAUCGAAAACCCAAUAAAAACUGACAAAAACCGAAUCCAUAAUAAACUGACUCAGUUGGUUUGGUUUGGUUUUAAUAUUUAAAAAACUAAUAAAAUUGGUUUGGUUUCUCUUUAUGGGAAAAUCGACCCAAACCGAACCAUGAACACCCCUAGUCACCUUAAGCUGUUGCAUGGUUACUCUCUUUCAUUUGCACACUUGAAAACUUUCAGCUGCUUAUGUUUUGCUAUUAUGCCUAAUCCUUACAAAGAUAAGCUCAAAUCUAGGACUAUUCUAUCUGUUUUUAUUGGAUAUAAUUUUGGUAAGAAAGCUUAUAAGUUGCUCAACUUAUCCAGCUCAGUCAUUUUUCACUCAAGGGAUAUGGUGUUCCAUGAACACAUAUUCCCCUAUUCUGAUGCAUCUACUUCUGCUCAUUUGUUUCUACCAGUCCUACAUUCUUCUAUGCCUAAUAGUGUCCCCAUGCAUGAUGUUAUUCCCGAUGCCAUUCUUAUAUCUACAUCUUCCUCUGUUUCCACUUAUGAUGAUCCAUCAUGUGUUACUAAUCCUCCUAUUAGAAGAUCUAAUAGGCCCUCCAAAACUCCUGCUUAUCUUAAUGAUUAUGUAUGCACCUCUGUUUCUGGUUGUAAAGUGUUGUCCUCUUCUGAUGUUAAUUGCUUACUAAAACUUCAAUUUUAUCAUCAAGUUGUGUCUAAUCCUGCUUGGAAAGAGGCCAUGAUGAAGGAGUUUCAAACUUUAGAUGCCAAUAACACAUGAACUAUCAUGCCUCUUCCUCCAGGGAAGAAAGCUAUAUCUUGUAAAUGGGGAUACAAGAUAAAACAGAGGGCAUAUGGCUCUAUUGAGAUAUAUAAGGUUCGGUUGUUGAUUAGAGGGGAUAGUCAACAAGGAGUGGUCGAAUUGACCACUAUUAGAUGUCCAUUGUCCAUAGCAGCUAAAAGACAUUGGACAAUAUUCCAACUUGAUGUUAACAAUAAUUUUCUACACGUGGAUCUUGAUGAAGAAGUGUAUGUAAAAAUACCUCCUGGUUUGACUGUUCAAUCCUUUACUUCUAAUACUCCUUUAGCCUGUAAGCUUAAUAAAUCCCUCUAUGGUCUUAGACAAGCUUCUAAACAAUGGUAUGCUAAGUUGUCGGCUCUUCAAUCUAAGGGUUUUCAUCCUAGUGUUAAUGACUAUUCUUUGUUUAGGAAGUUGCAUGGGAACUCCUUGACUAUAGUAACAGUUUAUGUUGAUGAUAUACUAGUGACUAAGGAUGAUUUAUGUGAAAUUGCUGCCUUGAAACAAUUUUUAGAUGAUCAGUUUAAGAUAAAAGAUCUUGGUGAAAUUCGUUUUUUUCUUGGACUUGACGUUGUAAAGCAAGCAAAUGAUUUUCUUGUUAAUCAACACAAACUUUUUGUGGAACUUCUUUCUGAGUUCCAUUGUUCUGUUGUUACUCCUGUUGUUCCCCCCUAGAUCCUCAUGUUAAGUUGUCAGCUGAUUCUGGAGAUUUGCUGUCUGAUCCCUCUGUCUAUAUAAGAUUGGUAGGGAAGUUGAAUUUCUUGCAACAUACUAGACCUGACAUAUCAUUCAAUGAUCAAUAUUUGAGCCAAUACAUGUCUGUCCCACGACUGGACCAUUUGAAUGUUGCUUAUCAUGUCUUGAGGUACUUGGCUGGCACCCCCUCACUUGGUUUGUUAUUGUUUAAUUCUCCUGACUUUACUCUCCAAGGUUACUGUGAUUCAGAUUGGGCAAGCUGUGGUGAUUCUAGAAGGUCUGUUAGUAGCCUUAUUGUGUUUCUUGGUGGCUACCCCAUUGCCUAGAAGUCUAAGAAAUAGCCCAUCAUUGCUCUAGCCUCUGCUGAGGCUGAGUACAUGGCACUUAGAUUGUUGGUUGUUGAGGUUUCUUGGGUCCUUCGACUCUUAGCUGAGCUUGGGGUGUCAGAUCUUGUCGAUGUUUUAUGUGAUAGUAAAUUUGCCAUACACAUCGCCAAGAAUUCUGUUUUUCAUUAGAGUACUAAGCAUAUUGAAGUGGCCUGCCAUUUUGUUCGGGAUGCUUUAAAGGCUGGGCUCAUUACUCUGCAUUCUAUAUCUACUCAUUCUUAACUGGCUGACAUUUUUACUAAGCCUCUUCUAGGUAGCAGUCAACAGGCCUUUAUCUCCAAGCUUGGAAUGGAUUUCCCUUCCAGCUCGGGGGGAGGGGGGAUGUUGGAGUCCAUGAAGCAACACAGAGGCCCAAUGAAAGAGAGGCCCACUUGAAGAAGCUGAAGCUGAUGAAGCCUCCUUAGUUUGGACCUGAUCCUUUUUAUUUAACUCUUUACCCUACUCAGAUUGUAUGAAUAUAAAUACAGACUUUCAUAUUAUUUUGUAUAAUUCUUACAUAUUAAUAAAAUUGCCAUGUUCAACUCA
RNAcentral lists this long non-coding RNA (5495 nucleotides) under Nicotiana tabacum (common tobacco). RNAcentral describes it as "long non-coding RNA (NTAB_LNC011746)". Lineage: Eukaryota; Viridiplantae; Streptophyta; Magnoliopsida; Solanales; Solanaceae. The record is from RNAcentral.